RNAcentral lists this long non-coding RNA (3854 nucleotides) under Pomacea canaliculata. RNAcentral describes it as "uncharacterized LOC112554791, transcript variant X1". Lineage: Eukaryota; Metazoa; Mollusca; Gastropoda; Architaenioglossa; Ampullariidae. The record is from RNAcentral.
UUUGAGUGGAGAUGCAGCUUCAGGAAGUCAAUAUCCAAGAUGGCCACUGGUGUGAUCUCGCGAGAACGAGAGAGAUCGGUGCUCUCGAUUGUCUGCUAGGACAGCUGCUACCCCGACUUUGCGGCACCAACACACGAAGCCGCUUUCUUACCUCGAGGUGCGGACGCCAAUUAACUUGCAAUUAACUUAAUCUAAGGAGUCGUCUUCACGGAAGGCGAUCCUGGAUAACCGAAUGCACAGUUAAUUGAAGACCAGAUAAUCGAGAUUCCACUGUAUAUAAAAUUAACUUAAGGCAAUCUCAUUCCAUGCCUCUAUCCCAAAAAUGAUGAGUUUGCAGACGAUAUGGCAUUGGUUGCUAGGCUAAGGAUGAGGAGUCACUGGCAAGCUAUUUCCUCCAGGUUCAGAAAUUACACUCAUGGUUUGAAGAAAACUUCCUGGUGCUCAAUGUCUCCAAAACUAAGGAAGUGGUCCUUGAUAGAAGAAAAUAUCAACCUGUCCACACCCCCAUAAUUAUUGAUAAUGAGGUAAUAGAACAGGUGCAAAGUUUUAGGUACCUCGGCACAGUGCUAGACAACAAACUGUCCUUUCAGGAAAACACCAGCGUUGUUUCCAGGAAAGCAAAUCAGCGCCUGUUCCUGCUGAGGCAAUUGGGAAUUUUGGUGUCAGUAGCCCUAUCCUCGAGUUAGUAUAUCGCAGCCUCAUCGAGAGCAUCAUAACAUUUAAUAUAUCGAUGUGGUUUGGCGUUCUCUCUGUCAAAGAUAAAGCUUGUUUGACGAGGGUGGUCAAGAGUGCCAGUAAGAUCAUUGGUUCUCCACAAAGACCUUUAGGUGAACUAAUCAUCAGGGCUGUGAGGUUAAAAGCGGUCAGCAUCAUCACAGACCCUUCUCACCUACUACAUCGCCAUUUUCAACUGCUACCCUCCGGCCAUAGAUGGAAGCAAGUGGUCACCAAGAAGAGUGCCUUUGCCAAGUCAUUUUUACCGACCUCAAUAGCACUCUUAAACAGAUCUCCCAUAUGUACCUAGUCUGAAUGUGUGUGUGUGUGUAAGAGAGUAAGAGGAAGUGCAUCUGACAAUUGUGUCAUGAAAUUUAUUAUGUAUAUUUUUUGCAGUUGACUGUGGGAGCUCCCAGCAACAAAGAAAACUUUCUAUCUCUGUUGUAACCAGACAUAGACAAUAAAGAUGUAUUGUAUUGUCCAUGGUGCCCCACGUAAAACUAGCCCGCUUCCAAUCUUCAAAUUUUAGCUUUAUUACAUACUUAUAUCUUUUUUUUAACUAAAACAGAAGCAGAAGUGCAAAAUGAAACACAGAAGGGGUGGGAGAGAAUUGAAACUAUACAUGUUUACUGCAAAUGAGACAAGGACAAAAAAAAAAAUCAAAAUUUCAAGACAAAAUUUCUUAAGCUGGCAAAUCUGAACACCACAUAAAAAUGCCAUAUAACAUAUGUAAGUAAUGCAUGCUCAUUGAUACAUAAUAGAAACCAGAAUCUACUGCUUCUUGAAAAAGGCAGUCAUUUUUGGCUGGUCCAGAUAUCUGUCAGCAGAUCAUCAUACAAAGGUACCAAUUCAUAUCUUGAGUUAUUAUUGAACAGUAACAUAGGUUACCUGGUUACAAGGCUAUUGAUUUCGUCCAAAUGCUGUACCUUAGCAUGGAAGCUGUUCAGGGAAAUGCUGGUAAAAGUCACUUUAUUGGAGGGACGCUGCAAGUUACAGAGCUUUUUCUUGCUGUAUUCAGCCAGUUACAUGAAUGUGAUCUCAUUUCUUUUCUAGAACUUUUUUAAGAUCACUUUCUUGCACUUUAGUCCCAUGCUGGUUUCCUGUGAAUUUGCUUCCGCGACGAGUUUUUAAGCAAUUUUGCUAAGUACGAUCAAUUAAGAGUGCAGGCAAACCAAGACCAAAGUAGUAUGCAUGACAGAUAAAGUCAUCAAAGGUUUAUUUAGUCCCGGACUUUGAGAAUCAUUGAUAGCUUUAACUGCAUCAUGUCAAACUCGUCAGUUGCAUCUUUCUUCUUCCUUUUCACAUCAGUUGCAAUGACAUUCUAAGCUUUUGCAUCUGAGCUGACACUGCUUGCUUGAAACUAUUCCAUAUUAAAUUGUCUUUUUAUGUGCUGUUGACAGUUUCUCCAGCAGACAGAACACCCUUCCGCAACAGACCCCACUUUUCUUUACAUUCAUGCACACUGCUCCAGGAAACUGGGUAAACAACCUGGCCUAUGAUAUGUCACAUCCCCGCAUAAAAUUCAUUAUAAUAGAACUUUUUCACUGCGGACUUCUAUUUCAUUAGAUUAAAAAAUUAUUUAUAUCGAGAUUGUACUUGUAUCUGGAUUUGUGAUGGUCAUCUAGCAGCAUCUGAGUAAUAGGCAUGCCUAUAAAUGGUGCCUGUCCAUCGGCCAGCUUACAGGCCAAAAUGCCCACACUGUAAAUGUCAAAUUUCGUAUUGCAUUCAGCCAGAUUCUUUUGUUAAAGAAUUUCCAGACUGAACUACUACAGGCAAUCAACAGCAUGUUGGGAGUAGUCACAGAUUGCAGGUGUUAAUUGUCCCCCUUGUUGUGGAGGCAAGUGAGACACACCUGUCGACUAGCUGUUAUUAAAACAUGGCUAGCCUUCAUGCCCCUGUGCAUGACAUGUCUGCUAUGCAAGUAUUUCAGAGCAUGCAGUACAUCCCGCAAGAUAUAUGUAACCGUUAGCUCUGGCAGUCCUGCUGUGAAAAAAGGUAUGCAGCAAGCAAUCACAGCAAAAACCAGAGUCCAUAACAGGCAUGACUAUCCACAGUUCAUGGUGAUGAAGCUACACUAAUGUGGGAGAAUAGUCUCAGCUUGUAACUGCUUGGUUAAUACAACUUUUUUCUGUACAUAAGAGAACUAAUCUAGAUCAAUCCGUUUAACAGCCACCUGCAGUCCUGUUGGCAAGUGCUGAGUUAGAUGCACUGUGAAUUGUAUAUUUGUGACCUUUGACUAUCACAGUAUAUAGCUGAUAGGAACAGGCAACACUGUCAAACUGCAUGAUGACCAAGUGUGAUGAUGAUGACUCAAUGAUGUUAAGAGUGACCUUCGUCUUAUUUUCUGACAAUAGUGAGGAGGUGAUGUCGUAAGGCUGACUUGCUGGUGGAUCACCAGACAGUUGAGAUUAGGAACAAGCACAAUGCUUUGUUACUGAUUUGUCUAAAUACCUUUCGUCUGUCUUUAGCCUCUUGUCACUCUCAAAUCUAUAUGAACUUUACCUGCUCCUAGUUUUAAGAAAGACAUAAAGUACAGUAGUCAGUCAGAUUUGUCUGAGCGACCUGGCGACAUAUUUCACUGUCAAGAUUUAGAGUUUAGAUCUGUAAUUGUUAUCGAAGAAGACAUAAAAAAAGAAACAAAACAGAUCAAGCAUGUUUAGGAUAAAGCUUUGCAGGUCACACAACCUGUAGACAAGUUUUCUGCCUUGAGUCGUCAAGAAGUUUUGCCACGUCAUUGUAUGUUUCAUCUUGCUGCUGACAUGCACAAACAGGAAACUGGAUUGAGAUGUGUGAUAGGAAGGACUGUUAGUCAACGGAUCAACUGAAGAUGAAGAAGAAAAACAAAAUUCACAAUCAAGAAACAUGGUCCAACACAGUACUAGGAUUAUGACAGGUCAAAAAAUGAAGUAAUGAAAGGCUAGUCCCUCCCAUCCAGUAAGGAAAAGGGACAUCACUCUCUGUAUACUACUAGAAUUGCCACAAGAUAUACAUAUAUUACCAUUUCCACCAAAUACCAUUUUCCACAGCUUAAUUAAACUUUUUUUGUUUGUUUUAUAAUGUGCAUUUUUACCAGUUUGCACCAUUUAUGAAUACAAGUAUAGACACACACCUAAUGACCAGGAAAAUUAUGCAAAAGCAUA